GCCAUGAGCGCAUGAUACGCCCGUCGUCUUGUGUGGAAGUUUUAUGCAAUAAUCAUAAAUAGUUUCUGAGAAAGUAUUAAGUAAUUACCAUUUAUUGCUUUUGAGACACGGCGGGACAUGUGAAACCCCCCACCCUGUUUUUUUUUUACAAAUAUCACUGAAAUAAAAUUUUGAAUCAAACAAAAAAGUAUACAGAUCUUUAGAUUAAUAUAACAAAGAAGUGUGUACAGUUUCAAGCAAUAAUCAUAAAUUGUUUUUGAGAUACGGCGCGACAUGUAAAAAAAACCCUACCCUUUUUUAACAAAAUACUCAAUAACUCAAAAAUAAAAUUUUGAGUCAUCACCAAAAAGUAUACAGAUCUUUAGAUUAAUAUAACAAAGAAGUGUGUAAAGUUUUAAGCAAUAAUCAUAAAUCGUUUUUGAGAUACAGCACGACAUGUAAAAACCCCCUCCCCCUUUUUUACAAAAUACUCAAAAACUCAAAAAUGAAAUUUUGAAUCAUCACCAAAAAGUAUACAGAUCUUAAGAUUAAUAUAACAAAGAAGUGUGUAAAGUUUUAAGCAAUAAUCAUAAAUUGUUUUUGAGAUACGGCGCGACUUGUAAAAAACCCUCCCCCUUUUUUACAAUAUACUCAAUAACUCAAAAAUGAAAUUUUGAAUCAUCACCAAAAAGUAUACAGAUAUUAACAUUAAUAUAACUGAGAAGUGUGUAAAGUUUUAAGCAAUAAUCAAGAAUCGUUUUAGAGAUACGGUGCGACAUGUGAAAAAAAACACACCCCUGUUUUAGUUACAAAGUGCCGUAACUCAAAAAGUUUAAAUCUUAUUUUCACCAAAAAGUAUACAGAUCAUUUGACCAUCAUAAAAAACAACUAUAUUAAGUUUCAUGAAAUUUAAAUAAGUCGUUCUCAAGUUACGGUGCGACAUGUUUACGCCGGACAGACAGACGGACGGACAGACAGACAGACGGACGGACACCGGACAUUUGUAUACCAUAAUACGUCCCGUCAAAAUUUUGACGGGCGUAUAAAAACUGUUGAUUGCACCCCAAGCUACAGGUAAUCUGUAACAUAUCAGGGGAGAUAAUCAACAUACAACAUCAAGUUAAAGGUAAUCUGUAUCAUAUCAGGGGAGAUAAUAUAC
This 1138-nucleotide long non-coding RNA is filed under the name Mytilus galloprovincialis (Mediterranean mussel). Lineage: Eukaryota; Metazoa; Mollusca; Bivalvia; Mytilida; Mytilidae. The record is from RNAcentral.